Molecule: ribosomal RNA, 490 nt
Filed under: uncultured bacterium
Lineage: Bacteria
Description: partial 16S ribosomal RNA
Rfam family: Bacterial small subunit ribosomal RNA
Source: RNAcentral
AUUGAACGCUGGCGGCAGGCCUAACACAUGCAAGUCGAACGGUAACAGGAAACAGCUUGCUGUUUCGCUGACGAGUGGCGGACGGGUGAGUAAUGUCUGGGAAACUGCCUGAUGGAGGGGGAUAACUACUGGAAACGGUAGCUAAUACCGCAUAACGUCGCAAGACCAAGGAGGGGGACCUUCGGGCCUCUGGCCAUCGGAUGGGCCCAAUUGGGAUUAGCUAGUAGGUGGGGUAACGGCUCACCUAGGCGACGAUCCCUAGCUGGUCUGAGAGGAUGACCAGCCACACUGGAACUGAGACACGGUCCAGACUCCUACGGGAGGCAGCAGUGGGGAAUAUUGCACAAUGGGCGCAAGCCUGAUGCAGCCAUGCCGCGUGUAUGAAGAAGGCCUUCGGGUUGUAAAGUACUUUCAGCGGGGAGGAAGGGAGUAAAGUUAAUACCUUUACUCAUUGACGUUACCCGCAGAAGAAGCACCGGCUAACUCCGUG